RNAcentral lists this ribosomal RNA (1315 nucleotides) under metagenome. RNAcentral describes it as "bacterial LSU rRNA". It matches the Rfam family "Bacterial large subunit ribosomal RNA", at positions 1599 to 2925 of the family's 2925-position model. The record is from RNAcentral.
GUCAUGCUUCCAAGAAAAGCCCUAUACCCGUUAAGGCAUCAUGGCCUGUACCCGAAACCGACACAGGUGGGGUGGUAGAGAAUACCGAGGGGCGCGAGGUAACUCUCUCUAAGGAACUCGGCAAAAUGGCCCCGUAACUUCGGGAGAAGGGGUGCCACCGCAAGGUGGUCGCAGUGAAGAGGCCCAGGCGACUGUUUACCAAAAACACAGGUCUCCGCUAAGUCGCAAGACGAUGUAUGGGGGCUGACGCCUGCCCAGUGCCGGAAGGUUAAGGAAGCUGGUCAGCGCAAGCGAAGCUAGCGACUGAAGCCCCGGUGAACGGCGGCCGUAACAAUAACGGUCCUAAGGUAGCGAAAUUCCUUGUCGGGUAAGUUCCGACCCGCACGAAAGGCGUAACGAUCUGGGCGCUGUCUCGGAGAGAGGCUCGGCGAAAUAGAAUUGUCUGUGAAGAUGCGGACUACGUGCACCCGGACAGAAAGACCCUAUGAAGCUUUACUGUAGCUUGGUAUUGUGCCCGGGCUCGCAAUGCGCAGGAUAGGUGGGAGGCUUUGAUCAUCGGCUUGCGGGUCGAUGUGAGCCAACGGUGAGAUACCACUCUUUGCGAGCUAGGGUUCUAACGGCCACCCGUCAUCCGGGGGCCGGACAGUACCUGGUGGGCAGUUUGACUGGGGCGGUCGCCUCCUAAAAGGUAACGGAGGCGCGCAAAGGUUUGCUCAGGCUGGUUGGAAAUCAGCCGACGAGUGUAAAAGCAGAAGCAAGCUUGACUGUGAGACCAACAAGUCGAACAGGGAGGAAACUCGGCUUUAGUGAUCCGACGGUUCUGAGUGGAAGGGCCGUCGCUCAACGGAUAAAAGUUACUCUAAGGAUAACAGGCUGAUCUCCCCCAAGAGUUCACAUCGACGGGGAGGUUUGGCACCUCGAUGUCGGCUCAUCGCAACCUGGGGCUGAAGUCGGUCCCAAGGGUUGGGCUGUUCGCCCAUUAAAGCGGUACGCGAGCUGGGUUCAGAACGUCGUGAGACAGUUCGGUCCAUAUCCGGUGCGCGCGCAGGAAUAUUGAGAGGAUUUCUCCCUAGUACGAGAGGACCGGGAGGAACGCACCUCUGGUGUACCAGUUAUCGUGCCAACGGUAAACGCUGGGUAGCCAUGUGCGGAGUGGAUAACCGCUGAAAGCAUCUAAGUGGGAAGCCCACCUCAAGAUGAGUAUUCCCAUGGCGUAAGCCAGUAAGGUCACGGGAAGAACACCCGUUGAUAGGCUCUAUGUGGAAGCGCAGUAAUGCGUGAAGCAGAGGAGUACUAAUAGACCGAGGGCUUGACC